RNAcentral lists this unclassified non-coding RNA (366 nucleotides) under Hevea brasiliensis (rubber tree). Lineage: Eukaryota; Viridiplantae; Streptophyta; Magnoliopsida; Malpighiales; Euphorbiaceae. The record is from RNAcentral.
ACUGGCAAAAGGUUACAUGUAGGAGGGAGAUUCUUUCCUAAGUGCGGCGGCGUAGUCGAUACGCAGAAAGAAAGAAAAAAAUUAUAAAAGAGAGAGGAGGCUGUUUUUUUUUUUUUUUUUUUUUUUUUUUUUUUUUAAAUACAAAAGAAAAUAUAGAUAGGUCGGGUGUGAUAGCUUGAGAAGUAGUUGUUGAAAAGGCAGAUUCCUCCUAGGCCCAUUGGCGGAGAUUUUAACCCAUUAGCUCCCCAAACCAUUUCCUCUUAAAUUCACCAAUCCAAUUCCGUGUUUCUUAUUCAUACACCAACCUCUUCUUUAGAUCUCUCUUUUCCCACAAGAUUUACAAGAUGGCAGCAACAUCAGCAGCAA